RNAcentral lists this ribosomal RNA (372 nucleotides) under uncultured organism. RNAcentral describes it as "partial 16S ribosomal RNA". It matches the Rfam family "Bacterial small subunit ribosomal RNA", at positions 527 to 896 of the family's 1533-position model. The record is from RNAcentral.
GUAGGUGGCAAGCGUUGUCCGGAAUUAUUGGGCGUAAAGCGCGCGCAGGCGGUUCUUUAAGUCUGAUGUGAAAGUCCACGGCUCAACCGUGGAGGGUCAUUGGAAACUGGAGAACUUGAGUACAGAAGAGGAAAGCGGAAUUCCACGUGUAGCGGUGAAAUGCGUAGAGAUGUGGAGGAACACCAGUGGCGAAGGCGGCUUUCUGGUCUGUAACUGACGCUGAGGCGCGAAAGCGUGGGGAGCAAACAGGGAUUAGAUACCCUGGUAGUCCACGCCGUAAACGAUGAGUGCUAAGUGUUAGGGGGUUUCCGCCCCCUUAGUGCUGCAGCUAACGCAUUAAGCACUCCGCCUGGGGAUACGGCCGCAAGGCUG